Cyprinus carpio (common carp) is the source of this 1483-nucleotide long non-coding RNA. NCBI's taxonomy places the organism in Eukaryota, Metazoa, Chordata, Actinopteri, Cypriniformes, Cyprinidae. The record is from Ensembl.
AUGCAUCUAAAGCUGCGGAGUUUCUUUACAUCACUCAUGAAAACUAAAAUGUUUGGUUUGCUGAUUCUGCUCUUGCUUCUUCCAUUAGAUUCGGGAUUAAAGCAAUCACCUCAUCUCUUUGUAACUAAGGAUCUCAAUGUGACCAUAAAGUGUUCCCAGAUUGGAACAUCAGACAACAUCAUGUACUGGUUCAGAAAAACACCCACUGAGCCGAUGGAGCAGAUAGUGUAUUUCUUUGUUAAAUCAGAAACCUGGGAGAAGAAUUUUCAGCAGAGAGCAUCUGCCGUGAGGAACGGGGCAUCUAUAGACCCGACUCUUGUCAAAGUACAGAGCUCUGACAGUGGUGUUUAUUACUGUGCAAAGCAGGAUGCACAUCAGUGUAACCCAAUCUAUAACCUCAACAAAAACAUGCAGUCCUGCUGCUGCAGAUUCACAUCUAACACCUGCUCAUCUGCUGUCAAUCAAUGGAAUUCAUUACUAUAGGGAUGUGUAGAUAAAGUGUUUAUAUGUUUUAUUAUUAUUAUUAUUAUUAUUAUUAUUAUUAUUUUAGUUUACAUACACAAUUUGUCAAAUAUAUUUUUAAUUCACUGAACCUUUUUUAAUUAAAUGUACUAGUUCAAUUUACCGCAAAUUAAAUGUUAAAUUUAAUGCAAGUAUUUUAAUAUUUUCUGAAUUAUCUCAAAAUUGUGAGGUGAUUACCUCUUGAAUCUCUAUGUNAAAUGUUAAUAAUUCAGGUUUGAUAAUGUUAUAAUAGUUUUUUUUAUAUUCUAACCUAUAUGACAUUCUUCUAUUGAACACAAAAGGGUAAAAAAGUCUUUGUUAUGGCAACCUAUUCCCCCAUUCAGUUACAAUGAGUUUCUUAGAAGUGGUCCUUAUUACUAUUUUCCAAGUCUUCUGAAACCAUCAGAGUGAUAUUACAUAAUUGUAUUUUUUUAAUUGUAUUUUUUUAAUUACUUUUUAAAAUUUUAAUUCUUAUCUAAAACAAACAAACAAAAAAACAAACAAACAAACAAACAAACAAACAAACAUACAAACAAACAACAACAACAACAACAACAACAACAUAAAAAACAAGUCAUUCAUUUUAUAGUUCGAAAUGUGAACAACAGAGGGCAGUGUUAUAACUGCUUACACUUUAGAUUUGAACCCAAUAUGACAUCUUUUGUACAAGAUGGAAACAUUUCUUAUAUCUCAUACAGAAUCUCAUUCACCAGGCACUGGCAUGUAAUAGCACACAUCACUCUGUUCUUAAAGCUGAUUAACGUGACUCAACAUGUGUCAACUUAUUAUUAAAUUAAUUUUUGCAACCUCUGUUUGUUCUCCACUUUGGAUUCAGGGUAUGUAUUUUUUGUUGAUGUUAUUAUUAUUAUAUUAAAAUAUAUUACAUUUUCCCAAUAUUAGCUACAGUAAACUACAGUACAUUCCAAACCCAAUCUNACAGUGCCACACAUCUGGUGUAUCACCUCUACAAAAACCCGCUGUG